This is a long non-coding RNA of Triticum dicoccoides, 960 nucleotides long. RefSeq lists it as uncharacterized. The record is from RefSeq and is a predicted model, not a curated record. The transcript is spliced from 5 exons. NCBI's taxonomy places the organism in Eukaryota, Viridiplantae, Streptophyta, Magnoliopsida, Poales, Poaceae.
GGAAGGGGAUCACUGAUGGGGAGCUCGAUGUACUGGACACAUUUGAAGAAGAAGAGUAUGUGAGGGAAGUUGUUGGCAUCUCACUGACCGAUUCGCGGGAUACAGUGAUCGACUAUGCAUACAUAUGGGGGAAUGUAGAUGAUCCUGGCCUCUAUAGUGAAUGGGAUUUUGAUGUCGACGGCUCUGCCGACGUGAGGGAUCUCAGGUCGCCGUCGCCCUUUGGGAGCUCCCUCUCCUUCCUGCCUUCUUACCGUGGUGCCAGGGAUCAACGUCCAGACGCCAGCACGAUAGAGCUAUUGUGCUGCUGCCUCAGGUUGUCCAGGCGCGUCAUCGGUCCCAGCUACCCAUCAUCAAGAUCCGACGUCCUUUGUCCUUUUUUCCGAUUGAUGUUUACGUGGGUGUUGCUGGCUGCUUCCCUCUUGCCCCCUGGCCAGCAGGGUCCUCCAUGACCAGGGCCCCCAAGCUAAGGAGUAACAUGCUGCAGCUUCUGCCCACCACCAUGUAUGAGACAUCGAAAUCUAGGAAGCUGCAGAGAGGCUGGUGCCAAAUCUACAUCAGAACAACGUCAAGUUAACAAACAAGGAAGCUGGAGUUGUACUGUGACUAUUGUUAGAUCUGUUUUUGCACUUCUGAAUUUUACUUGAGAAUGAAUCUCGAAGGUACAACUCCUGCAGAGUGCUAGCGCCCACCUACAGAUGACAAGAUUUUCUUCUUCUGAAUGUAAUGAGGCAUGAUCCACAAACUCUUCAUAGAACUUUGAAGCAAAAUAUUGAUCCCCUGCAUGCAUAUAUGAUUGCGAACCAAUUAUUUUUCAAUCCGUUCCUUUUUACCAUAAUAUUUUUCUGGGUGAUGUAACAUAAGUAUAUUAUUGGUACAAUUAAGUGAUAUCAUUAGUACUUCCUCCGUCCAAGAAAGCUUGUCCCUCAAAUGGAUGUAUCUAGCACCAAGUUAGUGCUAGAU